GAAAUGCGAUAAGUAAUGUGAAUUGCAGAAUUCCGUGAAUCAUCGAAUCUUUGAACGCACAUUGCGCCCUCUGGUAUUCCGGGGGGCAUGCCUGUCCGAGCGUCAUUGCGAACCCCUCAAGCACGGCUUGUGUGAUGGGCCCUCCCGCGUCUUGGUCGUCAAGACGGGCCCGAAAUGCAGUGGCGGCUUCGCGGUUAUCCGAUCAGCCAGAGCGUAUGGGGACUUUCUCUCUGUCACACGCCCGCGGCGCGGACCGACGCCUGUCGACCUUCAUUCAUCGUUUUUUCGGUUGACCUCGGAUCAGGUUGGGAUACCCGCUGAACUUAAGC
RNAcentral lists this unclassified non-coding RNA (329 nucleotides) under plant metagenome. RNAcentral's name for it is "partial contains 5.8S ribosomal RNA, internal transcribed spacer 2, and large subunit ribosomal RNA". The stretch from base 1 to 105 matches the Rfam family "5.8S ribosomal RNA", at positions 50 to 154 of the family's 154-position model. The record is from RNAcentral.